This 399-nucleotide transfer-messenger RNA is filed under the name Prolixibacteraceae bacterium. It matches the Rfam family "transfer-messenger RNA". From Rfam's summary of the family: Bacterial tmRNA, also known as 10Sa RNA or SsrA, is named for its dual tRNA and mRNA-like properties. The record is from RNAcentral. Lineage: Bacteria; Pseudomonadati; Bacteroidota; Bacteroidia; Marinilabiliales; Prolixibacteraceae.
GGGGCUGACUGGUUUUGACAGCGGGUAGAAGAGGUAUGUAAGCAUGUCGGGCCUUGAUCGCACAGCCCGUUAAUCUCGGCGGUCGAACCUUAAUUGGCGAAAAUAACUACGCUCUUGCUGCGUAAUCGAACUAAGUAGAUUACACUUUAUUCCGGCACAAGGUGCUGGAACGAGACAUCACCCGGGUGCUAAUGCCCUGAAGCGGCCCGAUCUGGUGGUGCAAAUAAAUCGGGGAUAGUCGGAGUUUUUCCUUGGAGUUCCGGCGAAACUUAAAAGGAUAAGGUAAAAGUCGGUGGCCCUGAUCCAGCUUUUGCACGAAAACCAAGUCUGGGGAUAAACAUGUAGAAAGCAUAUUGCUUCCUCGUUUGGACGCGGGUUCGACUCCCGCCAGCUCCACAA